UUGCCUCAGUAACGGCGAGUGAAGCGGCAACAGCUCAAAUUUGAAAUCUGGCCUCGCGGUCCGAGUUGUAAUUUGCAGAGGAUGUCUCGGGCGCGAUACCGGUCUAAGUUCUUUGGAACAGGACGUCACAGAGGGUGAGAAUCCCGUACGUGACCGGCGGUCAACCCCAUGUGAGGCUCCUUCGACGAGUCGAGUUGUUUGGGAAUGCAGCUCUAAAUGGGUGGUAAAUUUCAUCUAAAGCUAAAUACUGGCCAGAGACCGAUAGCGCACAAGUAGAGUGAUCGAAAGAUGAAAAGCACUUUGGAAAGAGAGUUAAAAAGUACGUGAAAUUGUUGAAAGGGAAGCGCUUGCAACCAGACUUGCCCGCGGGUGAUCAACCGUCCUUCGGGGCGGUGCACUCGCCCGCGUUCAGGCCAGUAUCGGUUUCAGCAGCCGGACAAAGACUUCGGGAACGUAGCUCCUCUCGGGGAGUGUUAUAGCCCGGGGUGCAAUACGGUUAGCGGGGACCGAGGACCGCGCUUCGGCUAGGAUACUGGCGUAAUGGUUGUCAGCGACCCGUCUUGAAACACGGACCAAGGAGUCUACCAUCUAUGCGAGUGUUUGGGUGUUAAACCCAUGCGCGUAAUGAAAGUGAACGGAGGUGGGAACCCUUCGGGGGGCACCAUCGACCGAUCCUGAUGUCUUCGGAUGGAUUUGAGUACGAGCAUAGCUGGUGGGACCCGAAAGGUACGUCUAUUUUUUCCUAUUGUUUCGUUUGCCCGC
Molecule: ribosomal RNA, 762 nt
Filed under: Xylographa difformis
Lineage: Eukaryota; Fungi; Ascomycota; Lecanoromycetes; Baeomycetales; Xylographaceae
Description: eukaryotic LSU rRNA
Rfam family: Eukaryotic large subunit ribosomal RNA
Source: RNAcentral